RNAcentral lists this ribosomal RNA (774 nucleotides) under uncultured Neocallimastigales. RNAcentral describes it as "partial large subunit ribosomal RNA". It matches the Rfam family "Eukaryotic large subunit ribosomal RNA", at positions 23 to 647 of the family's 3401-position model. Lineage: Eukaryota; Fungi; Neocallimastigomycota; Neocallimastigomycetes; Neocallimastigales. The record is from RNAcentral.
AGAGAGAGACAUGCGCGCAUAUCAAUAAGCGGAGGAAAAGAAACUAACAAGGAUUCCCCUAGUAACGGCGAGUGAAGCGGGAAGAGCUCAAAUUUGAAAUCUUAAAGGGUUUCCCUUUACGAAUUGUAGUUUAAAGAAGUGUUUUCUGUUGAGGUUUUGGUAAAAGUUCUUUGGAAUAGGACAUCAUAGAGGGUGAGAAUCCCGUAUUUGACCUUUACUUUCAACUUUGUGAUACACUUUCAAAGAGUCGGAUUGUUUGGGAAUGCAGUCCAAAAUGGGUGGUAAAUUUCAUCUAAAGCUAAAUAUUGGCGAGAGACCGAUAGCGAACAAGUACCGUGAGGGAAAGAUGAAAAGAACUUUGAAAAGAGAGUUAAACAGUACGUGAAAUUGUCAAAAGGGAAGCGUUUGACACCAGUGUUGUUUUUCUGAAAAUCAAUUAAAGAACUGUUUAUGCUAAGCUGUUUAGACUUUAUCAGCUAUCUGUUUAGUUUUGAGCUUUUCUUUAAUGCACUUUUCAGUUAACAAGUCAACAUCAAUUUCUUUUGCUGUAAAAAAGCUUGAGGAAGGUGGCUUGAGAUUCGUCUUAAGUGUUUAUAGCCUCUUGCCUAUGCAGUCGGAGAGAUUGAGGUCUGCAGCGUAGAUCCUUCGGGGCUAAAUGCAUUUGUGCUAAGUUAUAGCAUUCUAUAGACAACUUGUUGACUAUGAUUUGUCUUGUAGCUUACUCGCUUAUGUUAUUUUACCUACGCUUAGGAUGUUGACGCAUGAGAUAUACGC